Molecule: ribosomal RNA, 379 nt
Filed under: Columbicola macrourae
Lineage: Eukaryota; Metazoa; Arthropoda; Insecta; Psocodea; Philopteridae
Description: partial 12S ribosomal RNA
Source: RNAcentral
CCCUAUUAUUGAGAGGGAAAAAUGGAACUAGGGAGUAGGUGAUAAACUGAAAACCAUCUAGGAUGGCGGUUUUUUUUAUUAUUAGAUAGAUGUGUUUUUAGAGCGAAAGUACACGGCCAUCUUUCUUACUUUUGAAGACCCAUCCUGUACACCGCCGUCUGAAGAAUUAGAUUAAAGAACUAACUCCAUUUCUCUUACAUUAAAUUGAAGCAGAAAUAAGUCAGGUAAGGUGCAGACCAUAAGUAAGAAAAAAUGCAUUUCACUAAACCCCAAGGGAGAUGGUUGAAACACUUCUCCCAAGAAGAAUUUAACAGUAAGGAUUUUUUAUUAUAAAAACCUGAACUAAUUACAAGAAAAUGUACACAUCGCCCGUCGCUCU